CAGUUUCUUUGGCUUUCUGAUG
This 22-nucleotide non-coding RNA is filed under the name Arabidopsis thaliana (thale cress). Lineage: Eukaryota; Viridiplantae; Streptophyta; Magnoliopsida; Brassicales; Brassicaceae. The record is from RNAcentral.